RNAcentral lists this ribosomal RNA (468 nucleotides) under uncultured bacterium. RNAcentral describes it as "partial 16S ribosomal RNA". It matches the Rfam family "Bacterial small subunit ribosomal RNA", at positions 28 to 507 of the family's 1533-position model. The record is from RNAcentral.
GACGAACGCUGGCGGCGUGCUUAACACAUGCAAGUCGAACGGAAAGGCCCUGCUUUUGUGGGGUGCUCGAGUGGCGAACGGGUGAGUAACACGUGAGUAACCUGCCCUUGACUUUGGGAUAACUUCAGGAAACUGGGGCUAAUACCGGAUAGGAGCUCCUGCUGCAUGGUGGGGGUUGGAAAGUUUCGGCGGUUGGGGAUGGACUCGCGGCUUAUCAGCUUGUUGGUGGGGUAGUGGCUUACCAAGGCUUUGACGGUUAGCCGGCCUGAGAGGGUGACCGGCCACAUUGGGACUGAGAUACGGCCCAGACUCCUACGGGAGGCAGCAGUGGGGAAUAUUGCACAAUGGGCGGAAGCCUGAUGCAGCAACGCCGCGUGCGGGAUGACGGCCUUCGGGUUGUAAACCGCUUUCGCCUGUGACGAAGCGUGAGUGACGGUAAUGGGUAAAGAAGCACCGGCUAACUACGUC